NNNNNNNCAGCGGUGCCCGACACCGCCCAUGCUCCUUUGCCAGCGGUGCCUACCGCUCCAGCGCGUGCACCAGCGAGGCCCGUCACCACACCCACGCCGGUUCCUGCACCCAGGACUAAGUUUGCCCAGGUCUGCCCCAAGGCCCCCGGACUCCAGCCCAAGAAAUUUGCCCAGGCUGGAUCCACGAACUACCCCUCUGACUUUAGCCAGUCCUGGGCAUCCCCAGGUCUUUCUUGUCCCCAUGUCGCUCCCCGUUCUAGUCCCCGUGUCUGUCUAUGUUCCGGUUCCUGUCCUGUCUGGUGUGUCUGUGCCUGUUCCUGUCACCGUUUUCGUGUCUGUUCCUGUCAAUGUUUUUGUUCCCGUUCCCAUGUUUAGUCCUGUGCAGUCACCUGUCAUGUUUCACGUCCAGUCAUCGUCCCCUGUCCAGUUUCCCGUCCAGUCUCCGGUCUCGCCCAUGUCCAGUCCUGUCCAGUCACCUGUCAUGUCUCACGUCCAGUCAUCGUCCCUGUCCAGUUUCCUGUCCAGUUUCCUGUCUCGCCCAAUGUCCAGUCUCCAGUCACGUCCCCGGUUCAGUCUCCUUUCUUUGUCCAGUCUUUUGUCCAAUCUCCUGUUUUGCCUCAUGUCAAGUCCCCGGUCUCGUCUCUUGUUUUUCCUGGCCCCGGGGUUCGUUUUUAUGCGCCUUGGGAGCUGCGCGUUUAGGGAGGGGCUUCUGUCACGGCCUCGCCAUGUUUCCCUGUGUUUUCCCCAUUUCCUAGUGUGUUUCUCCAGUAGUUUUCCGUCAUGUGUGUGUAAUUUGUAGCUCCGCCCCUCGUUACCUGUCUCCCCAGGUGUUCAGUGUUUUAUGUUACUAUAUAUAGUACUAUACAGAGUACUACUAUAUUUAGUCCAUGUUUAUCCGUUGGUCUUUGCACCUUCCUCUGUCGUUUGUCUUGCUACAUUUCUACAGUUUGUUCACGUUUUUUGUUACGCUCAGUUUAUCUCUUGUUUAUUUCUAGUUCCUAGUUUAUUACGUUUAUUCCCUUGUUUAUUCCUUGUUUUGUACAUAUUUACGUAUUUAUC
This 1059-nucleotide long non-coding RNA is filed under the name Astyanax mexicanus (Mexican tetra). Its description in RNAcentral is "lncRNA (ENSAMXG00005006087.1)". The record is from RNAcentral. Lineage: Eukaryota; Metazoa; Chordata; Actinopteri; Characiformes; Acestrorhamphidae.